UACGGAGGGUGCGAGCGUUAAUCGGAAUAACUGGGCGUAAAGGGCACGCAGGCGGGUUUUUAAGUGAGAUGUGAAAUGCCCGGGCUUAACCUUGGAAUUGCAUUUCAGACUGGGAGUCUAGAGUACAUUAGGGAGGGGUAGAAUUCCACGUGUAGCGGUGAAAUGCGUAGAGAUGUGGAGGAAUACCGAAGGCGAAGGCAGCCCCUUGGCAAGGUACUGACGCUGAUGUGCGAAAGCGUGGGGAGCAAACAGG
This 253-nucleotide ribosomal RNA is filed under the name uncultured bacterium. Its description in RNAcentral is "partial 16S ribosomal RNA". It matches the Rfam family "Bacterial small subunit ribosomal RNA", at positions 524 to 776 of the family's 1533-position model. The record is from RNAcentral.